GUUCAUUGUGUCUACCUCCAGUUGUGGUACAGGUGAGCAGCAUUGUCGGGGUUUGGAGUGACACCGGCAGCCAGUUUGUAACUGAAAUCGGCAGGUCAAUGCAGUGCACAGAAAAGAUUUUCAUCUGUAAUCCAGCCCAGGAUGGAGCCACUGAUACUGAUCUGGGCCCACCGGGGAAUGCAUAAUUUCUAAUACAUGGAUUCUGUAGGCAAGCCUGCAUGCCGAGACAGCUGACUUCAGUUUUGCAAGCUACACAUAGACCUCGUCACUUAGAGGCCUGCCAGAAAAUACACCCUUAUAAUUCCCCUAGUAUGGCUGAAGGGCAUUCUGAUGCUGCUUGGAGUGCAUCUACAUUUACAUCUACAUCUACAUCAAGGGAGUACCUUUUCUCCCAUUCAAACAGCUGGGGCGUGGUGCUGGUGCAGUGGUAGAGUGUACGACCAAUGUACAUAGAGGCUUUGGCCCAUGACACGGUGGUCCUCUGGUUCAAGUCCCAGCCACAAUGACCAGUGCUGCAUGUCUUCCCCACUCUUCACCUCUCUUCCUGUCAGCCUAAUUUCAAAGAAAUGUCACAAAAUAAAAGCCAAUAGUACUGCAAAAGAAAUUGUUUACAAAUAAAACA
Girardinichthys multiradiatus is the source of this 622-nucleotide long non-coding RNA. RefSeq lists it as uncharacterized. The record is from RefSeq and is a predicted model, not a curated record. The transcript has 4 exons. Lineage: Eukaryota; Metazoa; Chordata; Actinopteri; Cyprinodontiformes; Goodeidae.